Molecule: ribosomal RNA, 798 nt
Filed under: uncultured Lysobacteraceae bacterium
Lineage: Bacteria; Pseudomonadati; Pseudomonadota; Gammaproteobacteria; Lysobacterales; Lysobacteraceae
Description: bacterial SSU rRNA
Rfam family: Bacterial small subunit ribosomal RNA
Source: RNAcentral
AACGGGCCCGCAAGGGUGCCGACGAGUGGCGGACGGGUGAGGAAUACAUCGGAAUUUGCCCAGUCGUGGGGGAUAACGUAGGGAAACUUACGCUAAUACCGCAUACGACCGGAAGGUGAAAGCGGGGGAUCGCAAGACCUCGCGCGAGUGGAUGAGCCGAUGUCGGAUUAGCUAGUUGGUGGGGUAAAGGCCCACCAAGGCGACGAUCCGUAGCUGGUCUGAGAGGAUGAUCAGCCACACUGGGACUGAGACACGGCCCAGACUCCUGCGGGAGGCAGCAGUGGGGAAUAUUGGACAAUGGGGGCAACCCUGAUCCAGCAAUGCCGCGUGUGUGAAGAAGGCCUUCGGGUUGUAAAGCACUUUUGUCCGGAACGAAACGUGUCGGGUGAAUAUCCCGGCAAACUGACGGUACCGGAAGAAUCAGCACCGGCUAACUUCGUGCCAGCAGCCGCGGUAAUACGAAGGGUGCAAGCGUUACUCGGAAUUACUGGGCGUAAAGCGUGCGUAGGUGGUUUUUUAAGUCCGUUGUGAAAGCCCUGGGCUCAACCUGGGAAUGGCAGUGGAUACUGGAAAGCUAGAGUGCGGUAGAGGGUAGUGGAAUUCCCGGUGUAGCAGUGAAAUGCGUAGAGAUCGGGAGGAACACCAGUGGCGAAGGCGGCUACCUGGACCAGCACUGACACUGAGGCACGAAAGCGUGGGGAGCAAACAGGAUUAGAUACCCUGGUAGUCCACGCCCUAAACGAUGCGAACUGGACGUUGGGUGCAACUUGGCACUCAGUGUCGAAGCUAACGCGUUAA